This 433-nucleotide ribosomal RNA is filed under the name uncultured bacterium. Its description in RNAcentral is "partial 16S ribosomal RNA". It matches the Rfam family "Bacterial small subunit ribosomal RNA", at positions 29 to 507 of the family's 1533-position model. The record is from RNAcentral.
AACGAACGCUGGCGGCAUGCCUAACACAUGCAAGUCGAACGAGACCUUCGGGUCUAGUGGCGCACGGGUGCGUAACGCGUGGGAAUCUGCCCUUGGGUUCGGAAUAACAGUUGGAAACGACUGCUAAUACCGGAUGAUGACGUAAGUCCAAAGAUUUAUCGCCCAAGGAUGAGCCCGCGUAGGAUUAGCUAGUUGGUGAGGUAAAGGCUCACCAAGGCGACGAUCCUUAGCUGGUCUGAGAGGAUGAUCAGCCACACUGGGACUGAGACACGGCCCAGACUCCUACGGGAGGCAGCAGUGGGGAAUAUUGGAAAAUGGGCGAAAGGCUGAUCCAGCAAUGCCGCGUGAGUGAUGAAGGCCUUAGGGUUGUAAAGCUCUUUUAACCGGGAUGAUAAUGACAGUACCGGGAGAAUAAGCUCCGGCUAACUCCGUG